AUGAGGUUCCCUGCUCAGCUCCUUGGGCUGCUAAUGCUUUGGUUCCCUGGAUCCGGUGGGGAGGUUGUGAUGACCCAGACUCCACUCUCCCUGCCCGUCACCCCUGGAGAGCCGGUCUCCAUCUCCUGCAGGGCCAGUCAGAGCCUCCUACACAGUGAUGGAAACACCUAUUUGAGUUGGUUCCAGCAGAAGCCAGGCCAGUCUCCACAGGGCCUGAUCUACCUGGUUUCCAAGCGUUACACUGGGGUCCCAGACAGGUUCAGUGGCAGCGGGUCAGGGACGGAUUUCACCCUGAGAAUCAGCAGGGUGGAGGCUGACGAUGUGGGAGUGUAUUACUGCGGGCAAGGUAUAAGCUUGUUGGUUUGGUGUCUUACCUGUGGUGGAUGCUCUGUUCAAGUUUGA
Molecule: non-coding RNA, 402 nt
Organism: Odobenus rosmarus divergens (Pacific walrus)
Lineage: Eukaryota; Metazoa; Chordata; Mammalia; Carnivora; Odobenidae
Source: the annotation of a RefSeq genome assembly